Triticum aestivum (bread wheat) is the source of this 3965-nucleotide long non-coding RNA. RefSeq lists it as uncharacterized. The transcript has 5 exons. NCBI's taxonomy places the organism in Eukaryota, Viridiplantae, Streptophyta, Magnoliopsida, Poales, Poaceae. The record is from RefSeq and is a predicted model, not a curated record.
UUCGUCCAGAAGAAAACGAGAGAGGAAGAGGAAAUCGCCCCCACCCGUUCUCCCUCGGCGCAUGCUAGGGUUGAUGCCGCCACUGCCUCGCCCCAUCGGCCCAUGGCCAGGUCCUCCGACGUCGGCCACCGGAGAAGGAAGCAAACUCGACAUCCAAUCGUCCAGACCUUCUCUCGAUCCAGGCAAGUCGCCUCCUUCCUUCCCCUUCCCUCACCCCCCGACCCCUCUCUGCCGCCUCGUGUCCUACCCCUUUCUCUUCUCAAUCUGAAUCCAUGGAGAUAGCCGGCAGGGAGGACGAGUAUGUGUUGGAGGGCGCUGCCGGCGGCGCCAAAAGUAGCUCAACAAGAACCAUCGUCACGCGGAGGCAAGACACUAUCGACACGGAUCCGCUUCGUCUGCGCCGGCAAGGGCCAACCGUUCCAGAUCCGACCAGGUACGAUGCAUCCUACCUUUUCCAACUGCCGAAUACUUCUCUAAAUCAUGGUGGGCACUGCCCAUGGAGGUUCAUAUGAAUCAAUUUACUUUGAGCAGUGCAGUGUCACAAUAGCAGCUCUCCCUUUUUUCCUUGCAUGUUUUAUAAUCUGCAUAUUUUGUUGUAAUGGCUGCAGUAAGGAGUAAGGCAGUAACAGAGUUGAAUCACUCAAUAUAUGCUACCAUAGGGCAUGUAUUAGACUGUUAGUUGAUGCAGGGGAGUUGCAGCAAUAACAGGUGUUCACUUAGAUUCAAAACUCUGAAUUUUACUGAUUCCUGUCUUAGCCCUCUAAUCCCUUGAUAGAUUUGUGCCUAGCCACCUGAACUUUUUCUGGCGAGUUUACUGAUUUGGACAUCAAUUUCGAGCUUUCUUGGGAAUGUUUAGAAGUCUCAAAAUCAGCCUGGGUCACCUGCGCCAGUAAAAACGCAACAAAUAUAACAUUAUGCAGUGAGUUGUUGCUUUUUGAGCAGAAUAUCAAACUAUCAGCUUAAGUUAGCGAGAGCAAUAUAUCAGGCGUUCAAGAGCCUCAUUCACAAGGUAUAGCCGAAUACCAAUCGGUGACAAGCAGAUGUCAAGACGCAAGAUUAAAUGGUGGAUAUAAAAGUAGUUUCAACAGACUGUGCAGAGAGUUCACUUUGCAGAUGGUAAACUGUAGAUAUCCUGCUCCAUCCCCCCUCCGUAAAUUAGAGGGAAGGUUUUUGACAAAGUAGCUCUAGCUUUGAUCUACAAGACCAGGAUCGAUGCCACGCCAAAUGCACAAGGCUGAAUAGAUUACACCACAACUAUGCAAAGAUGUCUUAUAUUCGACCUGGGCCAGUUGCUGCUUGUUAUAAACCAGAGCAUUGAUGUCUGCUUCCAGCUGCUGGGCCAUGGGCUCCUCCAUCUGCUCCGCAAGCUCAUGAUCCGCGAGUUCCUUCUGAAGCUGCGUGAGAGAAACAGAAAUGUAACAUUCACAAUGCAGUGAUUGUUCCUGGUUCUAGAAAAUAUUGCAAGGAAUUUUUGCUACGUAUGAACCAAGAAAUGCGGCAUUUAGAUAUAUUUUGUAUGCUCCCCACCUGGGUUGAACGGAUGCAUCCACCUGUUGUUAUGCACCCUAGCCUGGACUUCUCAAGGGUGAACAUACUGAUGGAUGGAAACCAACCUAAUGAUUGAUGGUGUUAUCAUCAGGAGGCAGUGGACUAGCGGUGGCGUGAUUCAAAACUAUUGCUGAUUCUGCAUUUGAGGAUUUCAUGAAGCCAAGCGAUCCUCUUGUGCUCUGAGGAGCUCUGAUGUAUACAGGCAUCUGGUAUGAUCGCAUGCCUUAAUUCAUACAUAGGAGUUAGUAUUGUAACUAUUAAGUAGCUCAAUAAUCUGUUGGCAAUAAAAUAAGUUGGUAUAUACGAUGGAGAAGUACUGAAUCUCUUAAAGCAUAAAGCCAUAAAAAUCAGCAUGCACUGCCCAAGCACAAAGUAAAAAUGUUCUAAUUUCAAAAGAUUAAUUUAGUUUUGAUAGGGGUGCGUAGGUAUAAACAAUGAACCAUCUUCUCCAAAAAAAAAAACCUGGAUCAUUCUGCAUCCAGUAUAUUGACAUAUUAGUUGCUCUCUUGUUUCUGAACAUUUUUGAACCAGCUGAGAAGUACUCAAAAUCUUAAAGCAUAAAGUCAUGAACAUCCUAGGCACAGAAUAAUCACGCAGUGAAGGUACUUUAUUACAAACCAUGUAUGAUAUGACACCAACACCAAAUCCUUGAAGCAGCCGUCCCAUGUAGAGAAGUGAUGAGUCAUGUGGAUUAAACAUCGAUUAGCAAGCAUGAAGCUCGUAUCGUCGCGAGAAGAGAAAUGGCAGAAAAUAAGCUUGGGAAACAUGUGGGUGCAUCAUGCCAUGCAUUCGUGAAGGAGAUGGCGAGCCAACCGAUGAUGUUCUGAAUCGCCACCAUCGUUAACGACUGAAAAUUCAGUAGGCAUGUCCAUAGUAUAAAAGAUUAAAACUUUAGUGUAGUCAAGAAUUAAUUUGUUGCAACUUGCAAGCAUAUGACAUGAACAAAAUAAUGAACCUUUUCAGAAAAAGUCUUCACCUACACAUUGUCUGCAACACCAAUUUCUCUUCUCUGAUUAUCGUAUCAAAUGCCACACGCAACUAAUUAAAUAACUCAUGAGAUUUGAGACUAAUACAAGCUCAACUCUUAAUUUUCAUUCGGAGGGAGGGAGGGGUCAAGAUUUUCUCACCCCUUUCUGGCCAAUGUGCUCGGCCAUCUGGCCGCUGGCGAUGGCCCCAACCAUGGCGCUGACUUGGACAGCGAGCCGAACGCCAAGAACUGACGUGCAGGCACGAAGUUACUCAACAUCUUUAAUCCAAGAAGAAGUCGAAACAGAGCAAGCAUAUAGGCUCCAGGCACUACCUUCUCAUAGUUUUCAAUUUUUUUAUAAAUUACUUUCAGUUCAAUCUGCUUCUCAUGAUUUCCGCAAUCUUCAAAUUCAACUUGUGUUAGAGGCUUCAGUUCUUACAGCAUAUGAUACUUGCUUGAUCAUCAUGUACAUUGUAUAAACAUAAAGUGAUGCACUGAAUGCACUAUGCUCUUGUCCAUUGUUAUUGUGUUUAUUUCCUAUCAGUUAAGAUAAAUAUAUAACUCUCAAAGUUUUAACUAUGGGUGUUAGAGGAGAUAGAUCGGGCAGAACUACAACCUGAGGUUGUGCAGGUUUACGGAUACGUCUUGCCAAGGUUAUAUUAUUUUAGGUUUUGGCGAAUAAAAAAAAUAUAUAGUAGGUAAAUAAAGCUCAGUUCGCCACUCAAAUAAUUAUGAAUACCAAUGCAGUAAAGGUAUGAUGUACGCUUUCAAAUAACAUUUUAUAGUUCUUUGGUAACAUCACUGAAAACUAUUGAAUUGUGUUCUCUAAUUUAUUAUAGUUAGCUUUCUUUCAUAUUAGGUGUUAAUAGAAAACAUACCCAUGCAUUAAUGGAUUCACAUUUGAAGGGAAACUGCUGAAAAUGAAAGGCGACAUAUUUGAUAGUUUUUUCUCUCAUUAUUCACAAUCCCAACUAGGUUUGGAAGACAAAAUCUGGAGCCUUACUUUGAAUGUCCAAGGAGGUGGAAGCACCAACAAUGCCCUCAACAGAGCUGCUCGAUCAAUUGGAUCUGAAUCCAAGGAUGACAUCCAACAAAAGGUACCCAAUUUCCUUUUAUUGCUUUAACCAUACUAGAGUAGCUGUAUAUGGUGCACUUGGCAGGGAUAUUAUCAAGGAAUUCCAAGAUGAUGGCUGCAUUUUGCACUGAAAUUGGGAGGUGAGGCUCAAAAAGAUACAGCGGUUACCGGCGGCGGCGACAGCGAAGACUAGCCCGGGAUCUGGGACAGUGGAUGCAUUGAGCACGAGGUGAAGAUAAGCCACUCCAUCCAUGGUUACUAUUUUGUUCAUUCUUUUUUUGGAGAUGAUUUCAGUACUCUAUCAAUGUGAUGUUAGAGCCAAGAUGCAUGUGUCACUUGUUUCAUCAAGUGUGUAAUGAACUUUAAAUUUUGUUU